Molecule: ribosomal RNA, 2272 nt
Filed under: Salmonella enterica subsp. enterica serovar Freetown
Lineage: Bacteria; Pseudomonadati; Pseudomonadota; Gammaproteobacteria; Enterobacterales; Enterobacteriaceae
Description: bacterial LSU rRNA
Rfam family: Bacterial large subunit ribosomal RNA
Source: RNAcentral
GGGCGUUAAGUUGCAGGGUAUAGACCCGAAACCCGGUGAUCUAGCCAUGGGCAGGUUGAAGGUUGGGUAACACUAACUGGAGGACCGAACCGACUAAUGUUGAAAAAUUAGCGGAUGACCUGUGGCUGGGGGUGAAAGGCCAAUCAAACCGGGAGAUAGCUGGUUCUCCCCGAAAGCUAUUUAGGUAGCGCCUCGUGAAUUCAUCUCCGGGGGUAGAGCACUGUUUCGGCUAGGGGGCCAUCCCGGCUUACCAACCCGAUGCAAACUGCGAAUACCGGAGAAUGUUAUCACGGGAGACACACGGCGGGUGCUAACGUCCGUCGUGAAGAGGGAAACAACCCAGACCGCCAGCUAAGGUCCCAAAGUCAUGGUUAAGUGGGAAACGAUGUGGGAAGGCCCAGACAGCCAGGAUGUUGGCUUAGAAGCAGCCAUCAUUUAAAGAAAGCGUAAUAGCUCACUGGUCGAGUCGGCCUGCGCGGAAGAUGUAACGGGGCUAAACCAUGCACCGAAGCUGCGGCAGCGACGCUGAUGCGUUGUUGGGUAGGGGAGCGUUCUGUAAGCCUGCGAAGGUGGCCUGUGAGGGUUGCUGGAGGUAUCAGAAGUGCGAAUGCUGACAUAAGUAACGAUAAAGCGGGUGAAAAGCCCGCUCGCCGGAAGACCAAGGGUUCCUGUCCAACGUUAAUCGGGGCAGGGUGAGUCGACCCCUAAGGCGAGGCCGAAAGGCGUAGUCGAUGGGAAACGGGUUAAUAUUCCCGUACUUGGUGUUACUGCGAAGGGGGGACGGAGAAGGCUAUGUUGGCCGGGCGACGGUUGUCCCGGUUUAAGCGUGUAGGUGUGUGUUCCAGGUAAAUCCGGUUCACUUUAACACUGAGGCGUGAUGACGAGGCACUACGGUGCUGAAGCAACAAAUGCCCUGCUUCCAGGAAAAGCCUCUAAGCAUCAGGUAACAUCAAAUCGUACCCCAAACCGACACAGGUGGUCAGGUAGAGAAUACCAAGGCGCUUGAGAGAACUCGGGUGAAGGAACUAGGCAAAAUGGUGCCGUAACUUCGGGAGAAGGCACGCUGACAUGUAGGUGAAGUGAUUUACUCACGGAGCUGAAGUCAGUCGAAGAUACCAGCUGGCUGCAACUGUUUAUUAAAAACACAGCACUGUGCAAACACGAAAGUGGACGUAUACGGUGUGACGCCUGCCCGGUGCCGGAAGGUUAAUUGAUGGGGUCAGCGCAAGCGAAGCUCCUGAUCGAAGCCCCGGUAAACGGCGGCCGUAACUAUAACGGUCCUAAGGUAGCGAAAUUCCUUGUCGGGUAAGUUCCGACCUGCACGAAUGGCGUAAUGAUGGCCAGGCUGUCUCCACCCGAGACUCAGUGAAAUUGAACUCGCUGUGAAGAUGCAGUGUACCCGCGGCAAGACGGAAAGACCCCGUGAACCUUUACUAUAGCUUGACACUGAACAUUGAGCCUUGAUGUGUAGGAUAGGUGGGAGGCUUUGAAGUGUGGACGCCAGUCUGCAUGGAGCCGACCUUGAAAUACCACCCUUUAAUGUUUGAUGUUCUAACGUGGACCCGUGAUCCGGGUUGCGGACAGUGUCUGGUGGGUAGUUUGACUGGGGCGGUCUCCUCCUAAAGAGUAACGGAGGAGCACGAAGGUUGGCUAAUCCUGGUCGGACAUCAGGAGGUUAGUGCAAUGGCAUAAGCCAGCUUGACUGCGAGCGUGACGGCGCGAGCAGGUGCGAAAGCAGGUCAUAGUGAUCCGGUGGUUCUGAAUGGAAGGGCCAUCGCUCAACGGAUAAAAGGUACUCCGGGGAUAACAGGCUGAUACCGCCCAAGAGUUCAUAUCGACGGCGGUGUUUGGCACCUCGAUGUCGGCUCAUCACAUCCUGGGGCUGAAGUAGGUCCCAAGGGUAUGGCUGUUCGCCAUUUAAAGUGGUACGCGAGCUGGGUUUAGAACGUCGUGAGACAGUUCGGUCCCUAUCUGCCGUGGGCGCUGGAGAACUGAGGGGGGCUGCUCCUAGUACGAGAGGACCGGAGUGGACGCAUCACUGGUGUUCGGGUUGUCAUGCCAAUGGCACUGCCCGGUAGCUAAAUGCGGAAGAGAUAAGUGCUGAAAGCAUCUAAGCACGAAACUUGCCCCGAGAUGAGUUCUCCCUGAGACUUAGAGUCUCCUGAAGGAACGUUGAAGACGACGACGUUGAUAGGCCGGGUGUGUAAGCGCAGCGAUGCGUUGAGCUAACCGGUACUAAUGAACCGUGAGGCUUAACCUUACAACGCCGAAG